GUGGGGAAUAUUGGACAAUGGGCGAAAGCCUGAUCCAGCCAUGCCGCGUGAGUGAUGAAGGCCUUAGGGUUGUAAAGCUCUUUCAGUAGGGAAGAUAAUGACGGUACCUACAGAAGAAGCCCCGGCUAACUUCGUGCCAGCAGCCGCGGUAAUACGAAGGGGGCUAGCGUUGUUCGGAUUUACUGGGCGUAAAGCGCACGUAGGCGGAUUGGUCAGUUAGAGGUGAAAUCCUGGAGCUCAACUCCAGAACUGCCUUUAAUACUGCCAGUCUAGAGUCCAGAAGAGGUGAGUGGAACUCCUAGUGUAGAGGUGGAAUUCGUAGAUAUUAGGAAGAACACCAGUGGCGAAGGCGGCCUGCUGGACAUUAACUGACGCUGAUGCGCGAAAGCGUGGGGAGCAAACAGGAUUAGAAACCCUAGUAGUCC
RNAcentral lists this ribosomal RNA (425 nucleotides) under uncultured bacterium. Its description in RNAcentral is "partial 16S ribosomal RNA". It matches the Rfam family "Bacterial small subunit ribosomal RNA", at positions 354 to 796 of the family's 1533-position model. The record is from RNAcentral.